This 561-nucleotide ribosomal RNA is filed under the name Oerskovia sp. SAUK6230. RNAcentral describes it as "bacterial SSU rRNA". It matches the Rfam family "Bacterial small subunit ribosomal RNA", at positions 121 to 695 of the family's 1533-position model. Lineage: Bacteria; Bacillati; Actinomycetota; Actinomycetes; Micrococcales; Cellulomonadaceae. The record is from RNAcentral.
GUAACCUGCCCCAGACUCUGGGAUAAGCCUUGGAAACGAGGUCUAAUACUGGAUAUGAGAUGCCCCUGCAUGGGGAGUGUCUGGAAAGAUUUAUCGGUCUGGGAUGGACUCGCGGCCUAUCAGCUUGUUGGUGGGGUAAUGGCCUACCAAGGCGACGACGGGUAGCCGGCCUGAGAGGGCGACCGGCCACACUGGGACUGAGACACGGCCCAGACUCCUACGGGAGGCAGCAGUGGGGAAUAUUGCACAAUGGGCGCAAGCCUGAUGCAGCGACGCCGCGUGAGGGAUGAAGGCCUUCGGGUUGUAAACCUCUUUCAGCAGGGAAGAAGCGCAAGUGACGGUACCUGCAGAAGAAGCGCCGGCUAACUACGUGCCAGCAGCCGCGGUAAUACGUAGGGCGCAAGCGUUGUCCGGAAUUAUUGGGCGUAAAGAGCUCGUAGGCGGUUUGUCGCGUCUGGUGUGAAAACUCAAGGCUCAACCUUGAGCUUGCAUCGGGUACGGGCAGACUAGAGUGCGGUAGGGGUGACUGGAAUUCCUGGUGUAGCGGUGGAAUGCGCAGAU